RNAcentral lists this small nuclear RNA (23 nucleotides) under Arabidopsis thaliana (thale cress). Its description in RNAcentral is "snRNA_00577". The record is from RNAcentral. Lineage: Eukaryota; Viridiplantae; Streptophyta; Magnoliopsida; Brassicales; Brassicaceae.
UUUAUAUAUGGUGUUUUUUGUGA